This 446-nucleotide ribosomal RNA is filed under the name uncultured bacterium. RNAcentral describes it as "bacterial SSU rRNA". It matches the Rfam family "Bacterial small subunit ribosomal RNA", at positions 331 to 792 of the family's 1533-position model. The record is from RNAcentral.
CCAGACUCCUACGGGAGGCAGCAGUGGGGAAUAUUGGGCAAUGGGCGCAAGCCUUACCCAGCAAUACCGCGUGAGUGAAGAAGGUCUUCGGAUUGUAAAGCUCUUUGAUCAGGGACGAACAGAUGACGGUACCUGAAGAACAAGCCCCGGCUAACUACGUGCCAGCAGCCGCGGUAAAACGUAGGGGGCAAGCGUUAUCCGGAUUUACUGGGUGUAAAGGGAGCGUAGACGGCGAAGAAAGUCUGAAGUGAAAGCCCGCGGCUCAACCGCGGAAUGGCUUUGGAAACUUUUUUGCUGGAGUACCGGAGAGGUAAGCGGAAUUCCUAGUGUAGCGGUGAAAUGCGUAGAUAUUAGGAGGAACACCAGUGGCGAAGGCGGCUUACUGGACGGUAACUGACGUUGAGGCUCGAAAGCGUGGGGAGCAAACAGGAUUAGAUACCCGAGUA